GACGAACGCUGGCGGCGUGCUUAACACAUGCAAGUCGAACGGUGAAGCGCCUUCCUUUUUGGUGGGUGUGGAUGAGUGGCGAACGGGUGAGUAACACGUGAGUAACCUGCCCCCUUCUUCUGGAUAACCGCAUGAAAGUGUGGCUAAUACGGGAUAUUCUGGGUCUGUCGCAUGAUGGGUCUGGGAAAGAUUUUGUUUCGGUGGGGGAUGGGCUCGCGGCCUAUCAGCUUGUUGGUGGGGUGAUGGCCUACCAAGGCGGUGACGGGUAGCCGGCCUGAGAGGGUGGACGGUCACACUGGGACUGAGACACGGCCCAGACUCCUACGGGAGGCAGCAGUGGGGAAUAUUGCACAAUGGGCGCAAGCCUGAUGCAGCGACGCCGCGUGAGGGAUGGAGGCCUUCGGGUUGUGAACCUCUUUCGCCAGUGAAGCAGGCCUGCCUCGUUUGUGGGUGGGUUGACGGUAGCUGGAGAAGAAGCGCCGGCUAACUACGUG
Molecule: ribosomal RNA, 494 nt
Filed under: uncultured bacterium
Lineage: Bacteria
Description: partial 16S ribosomal RNA
Rfam family: Bacterial small subunit ribosomal RNA
Source: RNAcentral